Long non-coding RNA from Salmo salar (Atlantic salmon), 1635 nucleotides. RefSeq lists it as uncharacterized. Lineage: Eukaryota; Metazoa; Chordata; Actinopteri; Salmoniformes; Salmonidae. The record is from RefSeq and is a predicted model, not a curated record.
UAUUUAAGCCUGCUUAGCCCGCCCAGGUUUGUGCGGGAUUAUUUUAUGUCAGUGUGCUUUUUGGAUGUGCUGGCUAUUUCGCCUUGAUUUUCUUUCCGGACUGUGUGCCCGUUAUUACUGGGUUGGUAAUUUUGUUCACGCGCCUGUUGUGUUGGCGUUGACCGUUUUGUACCGGAGAAAAUAAAUCAUUAUUUCCUUACCUCUGCUCUCUGUGCCUGACUCCUACCACCACUCCUAGCAAUUCGUGACAUAUAAAUGAACCCUGAUCCAGCAAAUGGAUUACGGUAAUUCCAACUGCCCUUAACUAGUUGUCUUCGCUAGACAGACACAGGCAGACAGAGAGAGAGAGAGAGAGAGAAGGGGGAAAGUGAGAAAGAAAGGAUGAAUGUGACAGGUGGGAAGAGAGAGAGAGAGAGAGAGAGAGAGAGAGAGAGAGAAGAAAGAAAGAAAGAAAGCAGUGCAAUUUACUUAGACUUGAGUAUUUCAACAACUCUUGUCUUUCAACUUGUUAGACAAUCACAUGUACCUACGGGGGAAGGAUGGCCAGCCACACAGGAGGGUGAUUUUCACUGAGGAGGAGGCCGCGCUGACCGAGAUGCAUGCUGGCCAUUUCGGUGUGAAGCACAUGAUUGCCAAAAUCAACCUACGCUUCUUCUGUCGUGGGAUUGUCAAGGAUGUGGACAGCUGGGCAAGUGAAAUAAACUUUUGUUUAUAAUCACAUUCUAUUAUAUCUGAAAUUAUUAUCAUUUCAAUUAAUGUCAUAUCAGAGAGCACACAAUGUUUCAAUUUGUCACUGUGCUUAAAGGUCAGUACCUGUCUAGCCUGACAGAAGUUUGUGAGGGUGAAGAUUGUGGGCGCUGGAGUUGUUUCACCAUGGCACAUGAUCGGUAAGAGUCACAUUUCAAAUUUUGCCCUGAUAAGUUGUUUUGUAAUGGUUGCUUCAUUUGAUCACAGCAGAGAUCAAUAUUAUAGAAUGUGUGUGUGUGUCAGUAUCCUUACAAAUAUGCAAACCUGCAUAAUGUAUGACAGAUACGGCUAAGAAGGAAGUAAUCUUCUCUCUAAGACUUGAAAUGUUAGGGGUGGACCUCAGACUCUUCACAAAAUCCAGGAAUAGCAACAGCUGGUGUCUAAAACAGCAACUGAUUACUUUACCAAGUGGGUGGAGGCAAUACCCAUUAAGGACCAGACUUACGAGGCCACCUCCAGGGCUUUGAUGGACAUCCUCAACACCCACAGUUCUCCUGAGGUCAUCUUAAGUGACCGAGGUCGUGAACUCUGGAAAAAGGUUUGGAUGAACGGACGAACCAGAUCCUCAAAACUGCCAUGGAGUUGACGGGUACCAGGAAUGGUGAGAGGACAACCUGAAGGUAAUUCUCUUUGCACACAACAGCAGCGUCCAGUCCUCCACCGAGUACUUUCCCUAUUGCCUGCUGUACAGUUGGGAGCCGCAGCUGUUGACUGAGGUAAUAUACUGUUCUUUCAAAUUUGUGAUUGACUUAGUGUUGUUGUUUGCCAAAUUAUUUUUGUGGGGGGGUUGUCUGUUUUGCAUGUUAUUUUGACAUUAAUACGUGUCACUUAUCAGUUUGCAAACGAUGUAAAAAAUGUAAUAAAAAUAAUAGCGUUAGUAAUGGUCUC